This 1259-nucleotide ribosomal RNA is filed under the name metagenome. RNAcentral describes it as "bacterial LSU rRNA". It matches the Rfam family "Bacterial large subunit ribosomal RNA", at positions 1633 to 2912 of the family's 2925-position model. The record is from RNAcentral.
UCCAUCAGACCGUAUUCUAAACCGAUAUAGGUGGACUGGUAGAGUAUACCAAGGCGCUUGAGAGAACCACAUCAAAGGAAUUUGGCAAAUUACCUCCGUAAGUUUGUGAUAAGGAGUCCCCAUAUGUAGGUAACUAUGUGUGGGGGGUAUAAAUUAGGGGGUGGUGACUGUUUAUUUAAAAUAUAGGGCUGUGCGAAGCCGUAAGGCGACGUAUACAGUCUGAUGCCUGUCCGGUGCUGGAAGGUUAAAAGGAGGGGUGCAAGCUCUGAAUUGAAGCCCCAGUAAACGGCGGCUGUAAUAAUAACGGUCCUAAGGUAGCGAAAUUCCUUGUCGGGUAAGUUCCGACCUGUAUGAAUGGUGUAACGAUCUCCCCGCUGUCUUUGAUGUGGACUCAGCGAAAUUGAACUGUCUGUUAAGAUGCAGACUUCCCGCGGUUAGACGGAAAGACCCCAUGCACCUUUACUCUAGCUUUGCAUUGGUAUCAGGAUUGUGAUGUGCAGGAUAGGUGGUAGGCAUCGAAGCGGGGACGCUAGUCUUCGUGGAGCCUCCCUUGAGAUACCACCCUUCGCCAUUCUGAUAUCUAACCGUGGCCCGUUAUUCGGGUCCGGGACCUUGCAUGGUGGGGAGUUUGACUGGGGCGGUCGCCUCCUAAAUUGUAAUGGAGGCGCGCGAAGGUAGGCUCAGACCGGUUGGAAAUCGGUCGUUGAGUGUAAUGGUAGAAGCCUGCCUGACUGCAAGUCUGAUAAGACGAGCAGAGACGAAAGUCGGUCAUAGUGAUCCGGUGGUCCCAAGUGGGUGGGCCAUCGCUCAACGGAUAAAAGGUACGCUGGGGAUAACAGGCUGAUGAUGCCCAAGAGUUUAUAUCGACGGCAUCGUUUGGCACCUCGAUGUCGGCUCAUCUCAUCCUGGGGCUGGAGUAGGUCCCAAGGGUAUGGCUGUUUGCCAUUUAAAGAGGUAUGUGAGCUGGGUUUAGAACGUCGUGAGACAGUUCGGUCCCUAUCUGCCGUGGGUGUAGGAGACUUGAGAAGAGUUGCCCCUAGUACGAGAGGACCGGGGUGAACGAAUUAUUGGUGGACCAGUUAUCGUGUUAACGGUAGUGCUGGGUAGCUAUGUUCGGACAGGAUAACCGCUGAAGGUAUCUAAGCGGGAAGCCCCCUUCAAAAUAAGGUCUCCCUUGAGAGCCGUGGAAGAUUACCACGUCGAUAGGCCAGAGGUGUAAGAGCGGUAACGCUUUUAGCUGAUUGGUACUAAUUGCUUAA